CAAUAGCGUAUAUUAAAGUUGUUGCAGUUAAAAAGCUCGUAGUUGGAUUUGUGGCUGUCGCGUGCGGCCCGGCAUUCGUGCCGUGGCUUGCUAGCGUCGCCAUCCUUGGGUGGAACCUGUGUGGCAUUAGGUUGUCGUGCAGAGGAUGCCCAUCGUUUACUGUGAAAAAAUUAGAGUGUUCAAAGCAGGCUUAUGCCGUUGAAUAUAUUAGCAUGGAAUAAUAAGAUAGGACCUCGGUACUAUUUUGUUGGUUUGCGCACCGAGGUAAUGAUUAAUAGGGACGGUUGGGGGUAUUCGUAUUCCAUUGUCAGAGGUGAAAUUCUUGGAUUUUUGGAAGACGAACUACUGCGAAAGCAUUUACCAAGGAUGUUUUCAUUAA
This 379-nucleotide ribosomal RNA is filed under the name uncultured eukaryote. RNAcentral describes it as "partial 18S ribosomal RNA". It matches the Rfam family "Eukaryotic small subunit ribosomal RNA", at positions 592 to 976 of the family's 1831-position model. The record is from RNAcentral.